GUCCUCGCUUUCAUAGCACAUAUACUAAAAUUGGAACAAUACAGAGAAGACGAGCAUGGCCUCUGAGCAAGGAUGACAUGCAAAUUUAUGAAGUAAAAAACAAAAAG
Small nuclear RNA from Ursus americanus (American black bear), 107 nucleotides. The record is from Ensembl. Lineage: Eukaryota; Metazoa; Chordata; Mammalia; Carnivora; Ursidae.